UCCCUGGUGGUCCAGUAGUUAGGACUUGGUGCUUUUAUUGCUCAGGGCCUGGGUUCAAUUCCUGAUUGGGGAA
Molecule: transfer RNA, 73 nt
Filed under: Ovis aries (sheep)
Lineage: Eukaryota; Metazoa; Chordata; Mammalia; Artiodactyla; Bovidae
Rfam family: tRNA
About the family: Transfer RNA (tRNA) molecules are approximately 80 nucleotides in length. Their secondary structure includes four short double-helical elements and three loops (D, anti-codon, and T loops).
Source: Rfam by way of RNAcentral